RNAcentral lists this ribosomal RNA (253 nucleotides) under uncultured bacterium. Its description in RNAcentral is "partial 16S ribosomal RNA". It matches the Rfam family "Bacterial small subunit ribosomal RNA", at positions 524 to 776 of the family's 1533-position model. The record is from RNAcentral.
CACGUAGGGGACGAGCGUUGUCCGGAUUCAUUGGGCGUAAAGGGCGCGUAGGUGGCGGGACAAGCGUGCGGUGAAAGCCUGGGGCUCAACCCCGGGUCGGCCGUGCGAACUGUUUUGCUUGAGCACUGUAGAGGCAGGCGGAAUUCCGGGUGUAGCGGUGGAAUGCGUAGAGAUCCGGAAGAACACCGGUGGCGAAGGCGGCCUGCUGGGCAGUAGCUGACACUGAGGCGCGACAGCGUGGGGAGCAAACAGG